CGUCAGGAUGAGAAUUCUAGGCGCUUGAGAGAACUCAGGAGAAGGAACUCGGCAAAUUUGCACCGUAACUUCGGGAUAAGGUGCGCCCUGAUAGGUUGAAGCCCCUCGCGGGUUUAGGCUGAAAGGGUUGCAGUGAAAUGGUGGCUGCGACUGUUUAAUAAAAACACAGCACUCUGCAAACACGAAAGUGGACGUAUAGGGUGUGACGCCUGCCCGGUGCCGGAAGGUUAAGUGAUGGGGUGCAAGCUCUUGAUCGAAGCCCCGGUAAACGGCGGCCGUAACAAUAACGGUCCUAAGGUAGCGAAAUUCCUUGUCGGGUAAGUUCCGACCUGCACGAAUGGCGUAACGAUGGCCACACUGUCUCCUCCUGAGACUCAGCGAAGUUGAAAUGAUUGUGAAGAUGCAAUCUCCCCGCGGUUAGACGGAAAGACCCCAUGAACCUUUACUGUAGCUUUGCAUUGGACUUUGAACCAACCUGUGUAGGAUAGGUGGGAGGCUGUGAAACUGGGACGCUAGUUCUGGUGGAGCCAACCUUGAAAUACCACCCUGGUUUGUUUGAGGUUCUAACCAUGGCCCGUGAAUCCGGGUCUGGGACCGUGCAUGGUAGGCAGUUUGACUGGGGCGGUCUCCUCCUAAAGUGUAACGGAGGAGUACGAAGGUACGCUAGGUACGGUCGGACAUCGUGCUGAUAGUGCAAUGGCAAAAGCGUGCUUGACUGCGAGACUCACACGUCGAGCAGGUACGAAAGUAGGUCAUAGUGAUCCGGUGGUUCUGUAUGGAAGGGCCAUCGCUCAACGGAUAAAAGGUACUCUGGGGAUAACAGGCUAAUACCGCCCAAGAGUUCAUAUCGACGGCGGUGUUUGGCACCUCGAUGUCGGCUCAUCACAUCCUGGGGCUGUAGUCGGUCCCAAGGGUAUGGCUGUUCGCCAUUUAAAGUGGUACGUGAGCUGGGUUUAAAACGUCGUGAGACAGUUUGGUCCCUAUCUGCCGUGGGCGCUGGAAAUUUGAAGGGGGCUGCUCCUAGUACGAGAGGACCGGAGUGGACGAACCUCUGGUGUACCGGUUAUGACGCCAGUCGUAUUGCCGGGUAGCUAAGUUCGGAAGAGAUAAACGCUGAAAGCAUCUAAGCGUGAAACUCGCCUUGAGAUAAGAUUUCCCUGGGGACUUGAUCCCCCUGAAGGGUCGUGGUAGACCACCACGUUGAUAGGCUGGGUGUGGAAGCGCAGCAAUGCGUUAAGCUAACCAGUACUAAUUGCCCGUGAGGCUUGAUCC
This 1272-nucleotide ribosomal RNA is filed under the name metagenome. RNAcentral describes it as "bacterial LSU rRNA". It matches the Rfam family "Bacterial large subunit ribosomal RNA", at positions 1665 to 2925 of the family's 2925-position model. The record is from RNAcentral.